GUUGAAAAUACCUAUUGCUAUAAAAUAAGUGAAGAUUUUUAAAAGAUGAGAUAGAAAAAUUAAGAUGGAAGAUUAUGAUGAAGAUAUUGGCAUUUUUGAAGAAGACAAUUAUUUUGGAGACAAUCGUGAAAAUAGAAAUGAAGGACUUGAUGAAAAAAAUGAAGAGAUGGUAUGAUGCCAACAAUGAUAUUUGGUUCAUUUGGUGCAUGCCGGAGGAUGCGCAAGUUAAGAGGGGGUAGAUGUUGUGAUGUAAUACGACUAUAUAUUGAAAUUAUAAUCAAAAUUGAAUUU
Molecule: long non-coding RNA, 291 nt
Filed under: Physcomitrium patens
Lineage: Eukaryota; Viridiplantae; Streptophyta; Bryopsida; Funariales; Funariaceae
Description: long non-coding RNA (PPAT_LNC005473)
Source: RNAcentral